This 253-nucleotide ribosomal RNA is filed under the name uncultured bacterium. Its description in RNAcentral is "partial 16S ribosomal RNA". It matches the Rfam family "Bacterial small subunit ribosomal RNA", at positions 524 to 776 of the family's 1533-position model. The record is from RNAcentral.
UACGUAGGGAGCAAGCGUUAUCCGGAUUUAUUGGGUGUAAAGGGUGCGUAGACGGAGAAGCAAGUUAGUUGUGAAAUCCCUCGGCUUAACUGAGGAACUGCAACUAAAACUACUUCCCUUGAGUACUGGAGAGGAAAGUGGAAUUCCUAGUGUAGCGGUGAAAUGCGUAGAUAUUAGGAGGAACACCAGUGGCGAAGGCGACUUUCUGGACAGUAGCUGACGUUGAGGCACGAAAGUGUGGGGAGCAAACAGG